Molecule: ribosomal RNA, 292 nt
Filed under: uncultured bacterium
Lineage: Bacteria
Also listed under: 1 other name
Description: partial 16S ribosomal RNA
Source: RNAcentral
GGACUACAGGGGUAUCUAAUCCCGUUUGCUCCCCUGGCUUUCGCACCUCAGCGUCAGUAAUCCACCAGUGCACCGCUUUCGCCGCCGGAGUUCCUCCCGAUAUCAACGCAUUUCACCGCUCCACCGGGAAUUCCAUGCACCCCUUGGAUCCUCAAGCAACGCAGUACUGGGCGCAGUUCCCCGGUUGGGCCGGGGGAUUUCACACCCAACUUACGUCGCCGCCUACGUGCGCUUUAUGCCCAGUGAUUCCGAACAACGCUCGCCACCUUCGUCUUACCGCGGCGGCUGGCAC